RNAcentral lists this ribosomal RNA (269 nucleotides) under uncultured prokaryote. RNAcentral's name for it is "partial 16S ribosomal RNA". It matches the Rfam family "Bacterial small subunit ribosomal RNA", at positions 524 to 792 of the family's 1533-position model. The record is from RNAcentral.
UACGUAGGGUGCGAGCGUUAAUCGGAAUUAUUGGGCGUAAAGAGCGCGCAGGUGGUUGAUUAAGUCUGAUGUGAAAGCCCACGGCUUAACCGUGGAGGGUCAUUGGAAACUGGUCGACUUGAGUGCAGAAGAGGGAAGUGGAAUUCCAUGUGUAGCGGUGAAAUGCGUAGAGAUAUGGAGGAACACCAGUGGCGAAGGCGGCUUCCUGGUCUGUAACUGACACUGAGGCGCGAAAGCGUGGGGAGCAAACAGGAUUAGAUACCCCGGUA